Molecule: long non-coding RNA, 2821 nt
Filed under: Triticum aestivum (bread wheat)
Lineage: Eukaryota; Viridiplantae; Streptophyta; Magnoliopsida; Poales; Poaceae
Description: long non-coding RNA (TAES_LNC002486)
Source: RNAcentral
ACCAGCACAAUCCAAUUUACAUCAACACAUAAAAUUUUCUUAUUCAAUUUCUUGCAAUCGAAGCUCUUCAUGGAAACUAUCAUCUCGUGCAGUUGUGAGAGGCAGUAACAAGUAGGAUUAAUAUAUCUGUCCAAAAAUAGAACAAACAUUAGACAUUGUUAGAUAUGAGUAAUUUUGUUAGAACCAACCAAAGGGGUGUCUUUUAUCAAGUUUCGGGAUAAAGUUUCACUUGUAUGUACGUUGGAAGAACAAAAAGAUUUAGAAAAUUGUAUGUAGAAAAAUUGAUGAUAAGUUGGAACAAUUUUGUACGGACAACCAUGUUAUAAACCUGACCACCAAAUCUGCAAAAGUAUUAUAUACUCUACACUGAAGAUGAUUGUAACAAUUUUGGGAAGAUGAUAUAACUUAAUAACAAAUGAAUGUAUGUAUUGGGAAAUAUUACAAAUGUUGAUGUAGCAAACACUACCCCAGCUUGGCCCUCUUUGGCUCUAUGCAGAAGAUAAUUGGUUGUAGAGAACCCCUUAGUAUGCUAAAGUAUAAGAAGUACCCUACUUUUGGUAGCAAGGAACAGACUUGUUGACAAGGAAUAGAUUUUGGUUAUAUGGCUGUGUCUGGUGUAGAACAAAGAAAAUACUAAGCUGACCCAUUAUAAGGUAUGGUUAAGUAAAAAAAUUGCCAUGUGCUGGCAAGUUAUAUUGCCUAAAGUGAGGAUUUAAACUAGCUAAUGACACAUCUGAUUAUGAAUACACAUUGAUUUCUAUACAUAUUAGAUGGAACAUAAAGCUGCAAGAAUAUGGAUGAUAAGCUGCACAGAGUAAAUACUUGCUUGGUGUAAAGGUGUAGUGUAUGGUGUACCUAUGUUAAUAUGGCUCUGCUUGCGUGUCAUGAAUAUCUUGUGCAGAGUACCCAAGGAAUCUUGCAUAUAUCCUGCUACAUUUUCAUUGCCUUGAAGUUCAUCAAAGAAUACAACAACUUUCGAUUUUAGACUAGAUGCUGUGAAAAGAGAUCUUGUCGGUACAGAUACGCCAAUGUGCUUGUUUCUGUGUUUGGCUAGAUUUCAAGAGAGAAAGUCAACUAAAUUAACAGGAUAAACAACAACAGUCAUACUCUACCACAAGAACAAAAUAAAAAUGAGCCAGGGAAUGAUAAUUUACAACACAAUUUCAUAAAUGAUACAGAUUAUAAACAGCAAACUAACAAUUUGCUCCUAGAGCUGAAUCAUUUCCAAGGAAAGCAAACAUGAUAAUACUAGCGGUUUCGCCUUUCAAUCAAACAACAUGCAAAUGUACCACCCACCUUCUCCAAGAUUAGCUAAAGGGGUCACGACUAACAGGAUAAAUGAAGAAUGAACAUUGUCAGACAGUAAGCCCAUCAUUAGAAGGGCCUUGAAACCAAAUUUUAUUCAUAUAUAUUUUCAGUCAAAGUUAAAACAAAUUGACACGUACAAACUGAACCAAACUGUGGUUCUUCUUCAUAUUUAUCUACAGAUGCAGGUGCCAUCCAGAUUGUUUCAGUCAAAGUUAAAACAUAUCGACACAUACACACUAAACGGAACCAUGGUGCUUAUUUCAUAUAUAUGUAUGCACAGAUGUAAAUGUCAUCCAGAUUUUUAUCUGGGAUUUUUGGAACCAUACAGCAACAGCCUAGGAGUACAAGUUGAAGGAGUAGUAUUGUUUAGAGUAGUCUCGUAAUAUUUAUUUUCCAAAGAAAUUUAUUUUCUGGACGACAGCACCACUGUACCAUCUAGUAAGACUAAGUGUCAAAGCAAGAAACUUUAAGGUAGGUUUUGAAACAAUUUCUAGUUUCAGGCACAAGAAUAACAACCUGUGUGUGGGUAUCCCAGGCACAAGAAUCAUUGGGCUUGCAACGUGAAGCUAGGGGAAGUUGCACAGCAGUACAGUGAUCCAUCCAACCUGAAAAUCCAUCCAACACUAGUAGUCGAAUUAAUCAGUGUAUCAAUACUACAUCCUAAUAAAUUAACGUACUACCAUCCAAAAGUACCAUCAUGUUGUGUAAUAAAUCACUGUUUUAGCAUUACAUCAGACUAAAUGAUUAUAAGUUUAGAGUGCAUCCCACUUAAUAAUAUGUGGGCUUGGCAGGCAACAUCUUAAAUUAUGCGACAUAUGUGGGGGAGGAGCGGGCCUCCCGAUCACCUUGCAGCAUAAGAACCACCUAUCCAGCACAUACGGUUUACAAAAUAUCAUAUGCACUACGUACAUCAGGUAUUUCACGGACCCGAAAAUUAGAAGACAUGUGAAAUAUAUUAUUAUAUGAGAACAUUUGAUUUAUGAAGGUUCACCUCCAUUUCACCAGUAGGUGAUUGGUCUAGUUUAAAAACAGAAUUAGCUGCUCGGUUAUGCAUGGUAUUUCUUAGAAAAUAAGUAGAGUAUUCAGUUGAAACCUAUACAGAGACCCUCAGAACCAAGGGUUUCAGUAGCAUCCGACCCCUUCUCCUGGCACUUGCAGCACCUUCGUUCUCCUUCUCACAAUCCUACAAGCAAACAAAUUGUGUCCAUUUCAGUCCCAAUUGUAGUACAACCAGAGAACCCAAAUGACCAAUUGAUGUCCUCCACGCAAUUUCCAGUUCAACCAGAUCCGACUACUAUAGCAAUUACUAAAAUAGAGGCAUACAGAUCUAAAGAUUUUAACAAAACAACAAACAAUUGGUGGCCUAGGUUGUUCUUUUAGCAGCAAACAAAGGCAUGCAAUUGUAAAGAGGGAAAGUAGCAGAGGCAUACCAUAGACAACGUGGUCGAGCAGGAACCAAGAUGUCAACCCCUCGCUCCUCAGGUGCAUCCCGUUCUUCCCUUUUCUCCCUGCA